RNAcentral lists this small RNA (239 nucleotides) under Arabidopsis thaliana (thale cress). RNAcentral's name for it is "ATSL118020". The record is from RNAcentral. Lineage: Eukaryota; Viridiplantae; Streptophyta; Magnoliopsida; Brassicales; Brassicaceae.
AAAAGAAAAAGUUAUACUUUUAGGACCACCAAAUCUUUUUCAAUACUAAAAAUUGUUGCUUUGAAAAUAUUAAAUACAAUUUACACAUUAAAAAAAACUAAUAUAUAUAUAAUUUUAAAAUGAACAAUAAAUAUAAAUAACUAAAAUCGUGUUUGUUUGUUCAUACACUAUUUUCAUUGAACUUCUGAUACGAUAAACAGAUAACUAAAAAAAAAAUUGAAUGCAUAUGUUUUUGAAUU